RNAcentral lists this ribosomal RNA (253 nucleotides) under uncultured bacterium. Its description in RNAcentral is "partial 16S ribosomal RNA". It matches the Rfam family "Bacterial small subunit ribosomal RNA", at positions 524 to 776 of the family's 1533-position model. The record is from RNAcentral.
UACGUAGGGUGCAAGCGUUACUCGGAAUUACUGGGCGUAAAGCGUGCGCAGGCGGCUAUGCAGGACAGAUGUGAAAUCCCCGGGCUCAACCUGGGAACUGCAUUUGUGACUGCAUGGCUAGAGUACGGUAGAGGGGGAUGGAAUUCCGCGUGUAGCAGUGAAAUGCGUAGAUAUGCGGAGGAACACCGAUGGCGAAGGCAAUCCCCUGGACCUGUACUGACGCUCAUGCACGAAAGCGUGGGGAGCAAACAGG